This is a long non-coding RNA of Macaca mulatta (Rhesus monkey), 1587 nucleotides long. Lineage: Eukaryota; Metazoa; Chordata; Mammalia; Primates; Cercopithecidae. The record is from Ensembl.
GCUGGUGGGAGGGGAGGUGCUUUGCCUGGCCGCCCCCUUCUCUGGGGAUCCUGUCUCGGUCGCUUCCCCCACUCCUGUUCCCGGGCUUGUAUCAACCCCACCCAGUGGCUACUGCUGUCUGUGCCCGAGGACCUCAUCUCCUCGCAGAGGCUGGCUCCCCGCAUCCCGCAUCCCACACGGGGACACGCCUGUGGCCUUGCCAGGGUGGGCGGGACACGGCCUCUUUCCUUCCUUCCCAUCCAGCGCCGGUGAGGCUCAGCACUCACUGUCUCACUGGCAGCACAAAGCCUUGGGGGCUCCACGGGAUAAUUAAUAGCGAGGACGCCCCCAGGGACCUCCGGAAAGAGACACCAUUGGUGGCAGGCCUCCAGGUUCUCGUCUGCCUGAGAGGAUGAGCUACAUCCGUACAGAGCCUGGCACUCCGGAUGCUGGCGGAAUUGAUUCAGUAGCAUGAGCAGGAAGGUCCAUUUGAAGAGAUCACUCCAAAACAGCGGUUCGCAACAAGAAUGGUUCAUGCAGGACAGAAAAAGGAGAGACAAAGGACUGUCAGGAGAGUGACUGGUCCAAAUGAGGACUCAGGAACCCCCAGUGGAUCCAGAGAGAAAAACACUCUGGGUAGGAAGGGCAUGGGAAGUGAUUACUAUGCACUUGUGCUGGAGCAAAAUGACACCAGGGGAGGUUGACCAGCACCCUCUGGGUUCAUUCUUUUUAUAAGGAAGACUUCUGGUCUCUUACUCUGUUCCUUGAAUGGAUUUACAUCCCAGAAAGAUGUGUGCUCUGUGCAAAUGAAGGGGUACUCUUCCACUGUAAAGAAUGCAUUGGCUUUCUGGACUGGGGGGCCGGCUGGUACAAGUGUUUCCCAGGAGAGAGAAGUUUCUGAAAGGAUUUUUGGAGUUGCAGAGUCAAGGACCAGGCUGGGAGUCUUGGUGACCCCACCAAGCACAGAGGAUGCCAGGCGCCUGAUUGGAGAAGGCUGUGGGAGUCUUCUAGAACAAUCGUGCUAACUGCACACACCAUCUGCAUGAACCAAUACCAGGUUGUACUGGUAUUCAGCCAUCUUGUACUAUUUCCUCGGGGUGUCCCUAGAGUGUUUCGUUUUUGACUAGCAUUUCAGCAGCCUGCAGGUAGGGACAGCAUUUCAUACACAGUGUGCGCCUCCCAGGAGCCAGGUGCAGCUGGGGUGUGUGACUGUGAGGCUCCUUGCUGUCCAUGACAUAAUGUCACCCCCACUGCCUCAGCUUACUCCCCAGUCACCCCUUGAGGUAACAGGGCUGGUGCUUUUACAAUUCCCAUUUUAAAGAUGAGGAAACAGGCUGGGUGUGGUGGCUCACGCCUGCAAUCCCAGCACUUUGGGAGGCUGAGGCAGGUGGGUCAUUUGAGUUCAGGAGUUCGAGAUCAGCCUGACCAACACAAAAAAUUACCAGAGUGUGGUGGUGCAUGCCUGUCAUUUCAGCUACUUGGGAGGCUGAGGCCUGAGAAUUGCUUGAACCCAGAGGUGGACGUUGCAGUGAGCCGAGAUCGCACCACUGCACUCUAGCCUGGGUGACACAGCGAGACUCCAUCUCAAAAAAAAAAAAAAAAAAAAAA